This 497-nucleotide ribosomal RNA is filed under the name uncultured bacterium. Its description in RNAcentral is "partial 16S ribosomal RNA". It matches the Rfam family "Bacterial small subunit ribosomal RNA", at positions 28 to 507 of the family's 1533-position model. The record is from RNAcentral.
GAUGAACGCUGGCGGCGUGCCUAAUACAUGCAAGUCGAGCGAACGGACGAGAAGCUUGCUUCUCUGAUGUUAGCGGCGGACGGGUGAGUAACACGUGGAUAACCUACCUAUAAGACUGGGAUAACUUCGGGAAACCGGAGCUAAUACCGGAUAAUAUUUUGAACCGCAUGGUUCAAAAGUGAAGGACGGUCUUGCUGUCACUUAUAGAUGGAUCCGCGCUGCAUUAGCUAGUUGGUAAGGUAACGGCUUACCAAGGCAACGAUGCAUAGCCGACCUGAGAGGGUGAUCGGCCACACUGGAACUGAGACACGGUCCAGACUCCUACGGGAGGCAGCAGUAGGGAAUCUUCCGCAAUGGGCGAAAGCCUGACGGAGCAACGCCGCGUGAGUGAUGAAGGUCUUCGGAUCGUAAAACUCUGUUAUUAGGGAAGAACAUAUGUGUAAGUAACUGUGCACAUCCUGACGGUACCUAAUCAGAAAGCCACGGCUAACUACGUG